UAGGGCUACACACGUGCUACAAUGGCAUAUACAAAGAGAAGCGACCUCGCGAGAGCAAGCGGACCUCAUAAAGUAUGUCGUAGUCCGGAUUGGAGUCUGCAACUCGACUCCAUGAAGUCGGAAUCGCUAGUAAUCGUGGAUCAGAAUGCCACGGUGAAUACGUUCCCGGGCCUUGUACACACCGCCCGUCACACCAUGGGAGUGGGUUGCAAAAGAAGUAGGUAGCUUAACCUUCGGGAGGGCGCUUACCACUUUGUGAUUCAUGACUGGGGUGAAGUCGUAACAAGGUAACCGUAGGGGAACCUGCGGUUGGAUCACCUCCUU
Molecule: ribosomal RNA, 324 nt
Filed under: Klebsiella oxytoca
Lineage: Bacteria; Pseudomonadati; Pseudomonadota; Gammaproteobacteria; Enterobacterales; Enterobacteriaceae
Description: bacterial SSU rRNA
Rfam family: Bacterial small subunit ribosomal RNA
Source: RNAcentral